CAGACUGAGUGGCGGACGGGUGAGUAACACGUGAGCAACCUGCCCACGAAGACUGGGAUAAUCCCUGGAAACGGGGACUAAGACCGGAUAGGUACACAGACCGCAUGAUCUGUGUAUUAAAGGUGAGAGACACUGGUGGAUGGGCUUACGGUGCAUUAGCUGGAUGGUGAGGUAACGGCCCACCAUGGCGAUGAUGCAUAGCCGGGCUGAGAGGCUGAACGGCCACAUUGGGACUGAGACACGGCCCAGACUCC
Molecule: ribosomal RNA, 254 nt
Filed under: uncultured bacterium
Lineage: Bacteria
Description: partial 16S ribosomal RNA
Rfam family: Bacterial small subunit ribosomal RNA
Source: RNAcentral